UACGUAGGGUGCGAGCGUUGUCCGGAAUUACUGGGCGUAAAGCGCACGUAGGCGGACCAGCAAGUUAGGGGUGAAAUCCCGGGGCUCAACCCCGGAACUGCCUUUAAAACUGUUGGUCUGGAGGUCGAGAGAGGUGAGUGGAAUUCCGAGUGUAGAGGUGAAAUUCGUAGAUAUUCGGAGGAACACCAGUGGCGAAGGCGGCUCACUGGCUCGAUACUGACGCUGAGGUGCGAAAGCGUGGGGAGCAAACAGG
Molecule: ribosomal RNA, 253 nt
Filed under: uncultured bacterium
Lineage: Bacteria
Description: partial 16S ribosomal RNA
Rfam family: Bacterial small subunit ribosomal RNA
Source: RNAcentral